CACAAUAAAACUUAAAAUAAUCCUUAAGAAGUCCUAAUUAAUAUUAAAAUAAUCACAAAAAAAUCUUAAAUAAAUCUCAAUCAACUUCUAAUUUAAUCCUAGUUGAAACUUUAAUGGACUUCAAUCAAAUCUUAAAUAAAUUUCAAAUCCUAAAUCAAAUCUUGGAUAAAUCCUAAACUCUAAAACAAAUUCUAGACAAAAUCUAUAUUCUAAAUCAAAUCCUAAUUAAAUCCUAAAUCCUAAAUCAAAUCCUAAACAAAUCUUAAUCAAAAUCUCAAUCCUAAAUCAAAUUCUAAUCAAACUCUAAACCCUAAAUUAAAUCCUAAAUAAAUCCUAAACUCUAAAUCAAACCUAGAAUAAUCUUAAAUCCUAAAUCCUAUAAAAAUUUUAGAAAAAAUCAAAUUCUUCAAAUCUUAAAAAAAAUCAAAUCCUAGAAAAAUCCUAAAAAAAAUUAAAUCCUAGAAAAAACCAAAUCCUAGAAAAAACC
Molecule: long non-coding RNA, 487 nt
Filed under: Physcomitrium patens
Lineage: Eukaryota; Viridiplantae; Streptophyta; Bryopsida; Funariales; Funariaceae
Description: long non-coding RNA (PPAT_LNC010093)
Source: RNAcentral